UUGAGUCAGUUGAGUGAUGUGGAACAUGGAGCGAAGUAGCAGAGCAGCUGGGAUGAUCCAGGAAGGGAAAGAAUGAAACAAUAAAAACAGGAGGAGAGUAAAUAAAUAAAAAUAAAAAUAAAAAUAAAUAAAAUACUGUAAAAGUUGAAAAUGGAUUUCGGAGUCGAAGGCGAUAAACAGCUGGCGGAAGGGGAUCGCCAUCUGGGGUGUGACUGCGUGUUCUAGGAAAUUGGCGCAAAGAUUGAGACUUGUGGGACGCAGAG
Molecule: long non-coding RNA, 263 nt
Filed under: Carica papaya (papaya)
Lineage: Eukaryota; Viridiplantae; Streptophyta; Magnoliopsida; Brassicales; Caricaceae
Description: long non-coding RNA (CPAP_LNC010816)
Source: RNAcentral